GCCAGAGUGGUGGAAUUGGUAGACACAGGGGACUUAAAAUCCCCCGGGAUAAUAUCCUGUACGAGUUCAAGUCUCGUCUCUGGUA
RNAcentral lists this transfer RNA (85 nucleotides) under Spirochaetales bacterium. RNAcentral's name for it is "tRNA-Leu". It matches the Rfam family "tRNA". From Rfam's summary of the family: Transfer RNA (tRNA) molecules are approximately 80 nucleotides in length. Lineage: Bacteria; Pseudomonadati; Spirochaetota; Spirochaetia; Spirochaetales. The record is from RNAcentral.